RNAcentral lists this ribosomal RNA (360 nucleotides) under Triticum aestivum (bread wheat). RNAcentral's name for it is "partial small subunit ribosomal RNA". The record is from RNAcentral. Lineage: Eukaryota; Viridiplantae; Streptophyta; Magnoliopsida; Poales; Poaceae.
AUGAUGGCGGCGCUCUCGUGUCGUUUCCUAUUUGGGGAGUCAUUCUUGAAGGUGUGCAUUGGAUCAAGGGAUAAGUGGACGGUUUUACUGGUGGAGCGGCGUUUCUUGUUCACAUCGGUGAUGUGGAGUCUCGGCGGCGUGGUGCGGCAGGGUCUCAGCAACGGAUGUGUGAUGAUGGGCACGCGUAGGGAGAUGGCGUUGUUUAGUGUCGUGGUGGCGUCGACUGCGGGCUUGACAAUUGAUGCGUCGGUACAUGCUCUGAAGAUGAAUCGGUGGAAGAUGCGUCGGCAGCCUCUGAGAGGGUGCCGAACCGAUGAGUGCCCUGAUGGCUUAGUUGGCACCUCAAGUUUUAGAUGUUAG